AUUGAACGCUGGCGGCAGGCCUAACACAUGCAAGUCGAACGAGUGGCGGACGGGUGAGUAAUGUCUGGGAAACUGCCUGAUGGAGGGGGAUAACUACUGGAAACGGUAGCUAAUACCGCAUACCAUCGGAUGUGCCCAGAUGGGAUUAGCUAGGCGGUGGGGGAACGGCUCACCUGGGCGACGAUCCCUAGCUGGUCUGAGAGGAUGACCAGCAACACGGGAACUGAGACACGGGCCAGACUCCUACGGGAGGCAGCAGUGGGGAAUAUUGCACAAUGGGCGCAAGCCUGACGCAGCCAGGCCGCGUGUAUGAAGAAGGCCUUCGGGUUGUAAAGUACUUUCAGCGGGGAGGCGUUACCCGCAGAAGAAGCACCGGCUAACUCCGUGCCAGCAGCCGCGGUAAUAC
Molecule: ribosomal RNA, 406 nt
Filed under: uncultured bacterium
Lineage: Bacteria
Description: partial 16S ribosomal RNA
Rfam family: Bacterial small subunit ribosomal RNA
Source: RNAcentral